GACGAACGCUGGCGGCGUGCUUAUCACAUGCAAGUCGAACGGUGAAGCGCCUUCCUUUUUGGUGGGUGUGGAUGAGUGGCGAACGGGUGAGUAACACGUGAGUAACCUGCCCCCUUCUUCUGGAUAACCGCAUGAAAGUGUGGCUAAUACGGGAUAUUCUGGGUCUGUCGCAUGAUGGGUCUGGGAAAGAUAUUGUUUCGGUGGGGGAUGGGCUCGCGGCCUAUCAGCUUGUUGGUGGGGUGAUGGCCUACCAAGGCGGUGACGGGUAGCCGGCCUGAGAGGGUGGACGGUCACACUGGGACUGAGACACGGCCCAGACUCCUACGGGAGGCAGCAGUGGGGAAUAUUGCACAAUGGGCGCAAGCCUGAUGCAGCGACGCCGCGUGAGGGAUGGAGGCCUUCGGGUUGUGAACCUCUUUCGCCAGUGAAGCAGGCCUGCCUCGUUUGUGGGUGGGUUGACGGUAGCUGGAUAAGAAGCGCCGGCUAACUACGUG
RNAcentral lists this ribosomal RNA (494 nucleotides) under uncultured bacterium. RNAcentral's name for it is "partial 16S ribosomal RNA". It matches the Rfam family "Bacterial small subunit ribosomal RNA", at positions 28 to 507 of the family's 1533-position model. The record is from RNAcentral.